Molecule: long non-coding RNA, 1166 nt
Organism: Mesocricetus auratus (golden hamster)
Lineage: Eukaryota; Metazoa; Chordata; Mammalia; Rodentia; Cricetidae
Exons: 2
Source: RefSeq, a predicted model, not a curated record
CCGCUUCUUCUCCAAGCUGCGGUGGGAGGACGCCCCCCCCAGUCCCGCGCCCACCCGCAGCCGAGCCCCGCCCGCCUCAGCAGAGGGAAGUGAGCAGAAUGCCACGCUCAUUUACACACAAAAUGACUUUGUGUCCCAUUGUGCUCGCAGUUGUUCAGCUCUCUGGGGGUGAUUAAACUGGCUGAGCUGCGGCAGCUUGAGACGAUUUCGCUAAAUCGCCUUCCUCGCUUUCUCUAAGUCGCUUCUUUUGCUAAGCUGUUAUUUUAACCAUAAAAGGUAAACAGAAGGCGCCUCCGAGUUCCCUUCAGCUCUGCGCCCUGGGCGCCUGCCCGGAGCGACAGUGCCAGGGGCCUGCAGGACUGUCCCGGGGGUGGACUGAGAGGGACGCGGACGGGCCACCUGGUGCGCGACAGCCCCGGCCGCAGAGCCUGCCGGCCCGUGUGAACUUCGGGGCUACAGGAGGCGGCUGGGCCGAACCUCCGGCCCCGCGGGGCGGGGUGGCCAAGUACCUAGUGAUGUCUGUGGCCGCCACGUCACCGCCUUUGUGGUGGGCAGAAAGGACUUCAGACCCGGCAACCAGUGUCACCAAAGGUCUUCAAAUAAUGGCAUCAACCGAAGCUGGAAAUGGGGAUGUGACCUCUGGCUGCAGGGCUGGAGCUUGCAGCUGAAGAGAAUGCCGUAGGCGGGCGGGCAGCCUGCAGACCCGGCCCCGGAAUGAACCGUGGAGGGUGGGGCUGGGCACGGCACUGGUCCACACUGGAAAAAUGAAGAUGUCUAGGAGCCUCUGAUAUUUUGUGUUUAUCAUGUAUCAAUAGUGGAGGACUCUAAACUGUGGUGUGUGUGUGUGCGUGCUCGUGCACACGCAAAUGUAUAUAAGUUCCAUGAGAAUAGUAUACACACUAGUCUAUGAUUGAUAAUUAUAUAAUGUGCUGUGUAUAAUUAUACAUACCAUAAUAUCAUAUAACAUUAGAAGUGUUAGUUCGUAUCUCUUGACCCUACCCAAACUUGUAAUUUUUUCUUGUUUGUUUUGUUUUUCGAGACAGGGUUUCUCUGUGGCUUUGGAGGCUGUCCUGGAACUGGCUCUCGUAGACCAGGCUGGCCUCGAACUCACAGAGAUCCACCUGCCUCUGCCUCCCAAGCGUUGGGAUUAAAGCAGUGUGCCGGUA